Molecule: ribosomal RNA, 490 nt
Filed under: uncultured bacterium
Lineage: Bacteria
Description: partial 16S ribosomal RNA
Rfam family: Bacterial small subunit ribosomal RNA
Source: RNAcentral
AUUGAACGCUGGCGGCAGGCCUAACACAUGCAAGUCGAACGGUAACAGGAAACAGCUUGCUGUUUCGCUGACGAGUGGCGGACGGGUGAGUAAUGUCCGGGAAACUGCCUGUUGGAGGGGGAUAACUACUGGAAACGGUAGCUAAUACCGCAUAUCGUCGCAAGACCAAAGAGGGGGACCUUUGGGCCCCUUGCCCUCGGAUGUGCCCAGAUGGGAUUAGCUAGUAGGUGGGGUAAAGGCUCACCUAGGCGACGAUCCCUAGCUGGUCUGAGAGGAUGAGCAGCCACACUGGAACUGAGACACGGUCCAGACUCCUACGGGAGGCAGCAGUGGGGAAUAUUGCACAAUGGGCGCAAGCCUGAUGCAGCCAUGCCGCGUGGAUGAAGAAGGCCUUCGGGUUGUAAAGUCCUUUCAGCGGGGAGGAAGGGAGUAAGGUUAAUACCUUUACUCAUUGACGUUACCCGAAGAAGAAGCACCGGCUAACUCCGUG